GACGAACGCUGGCGGCGUGCUUAACACAUGCAAGUCGAACGAUGAAGCUGGAGCUUGCUCCGGUGGAUUAGUGGCGAACGGGUGAGUAACACGUGAGCAAUCUGCCCUUGACUCUGGGAUAACUGCGGGAAACUGUAGCUAAUACCGGAUACGAGGCUCGAAGGCAUCUUCGGGUCUGGAAAGAAUUUCGGUCAAGGAUGAGCUCGCGGCCUAUCAGCGUGUUGGUGAGGUAAUGAGUCACCAAGGCGACGACGGGUAGCCGGCCUGAGAGGGGGACCGGCCAAACUGGAGCCGAGACACGGUCCAGACUCCUACGGGAGGCAGCCGUGGGGAAUAUUGCACAAUGGGCGAGAGCCUGAUGCAGCAACGUCGCGUGAGGGAUGAAGGCCUUCGGGUUGUAAACCUCUUUUAGCAGGGAAGAAGCGAAAGUGACGGUACCUGCAGAAAAAGCACCGGCUAACUACGUGCCAGCAGCCGCGGUAA
RNAcentral lists this ribosomal RNA (483 nucleotides) under uncultured bacterium. RNAcentral describes it as "partial 16S ribosomal RNA". It matches the Rfam family "Bacterial small subunit ribosomal RNA", at positions 28 to 523 of the family's 1533-position model. The record is from RNAcentral.